This 73-nucleotide transfer RNA is filed under the name Novipirellula aureliae. RNAcentral describes it as "Planctomycetes bacterium Q31b tRNA-Phe". It matches the Rfam family "tRNA". From Rfam's summary of the family: Transfer RNA (tRNA) molecules are approximately 80 nucleotides in length. Their secondary structure includes four short double-helical elements and three loops (D, anti-codon, and T loops). The record is from RNAcentral. Lineage: Bacteria; Pseudomonadati; Planctomycetota; Planctomycetia; Pirellulales; Pirellulaceae.
GGGCUGGUAGCUGAGAAGGUCUAGCGGCGGUCUGAAGAACCGCAGGCGAGGAUUCGAGCGCCUCCCGGCCCAC